GGUUGUUUUCUUUUUUUUUUUAAUAUUGAUUUUUUAGUUCUCGGCGGACACAACAUCUUUGUAUGUGGUGCUGAGGAUCGAACCUGGGCCGCACGCAUGCCAGGCGAGCGCGCUACCGCUUGAGCCACAUCUCCAGCCCCCAAAAGGUUGUUUUCUUAGUGGAAUGCUACAGGAUUUUCUUUAGCCAUCCGGAGUUCCUGCCCAGUGCCGGUGAAAACGAAAGUAGAAGAAUUUCCAGUGUUGCUGAGAACCGGACGAGACUUCGGAUCAAGCUAGCUGCCUGCAGAACUUACCUGGACUGUGAUUUACCUGGACUGUGAGUUAAUCUAUUGAGACACUGCUUUACCUGGACUGAGACAACAAACUGUAAUCUACAACAAAUUGUAACUCGGUGUCUUUGCAAACGGUGUCAUUGCUGGUAUAAUUUUUCCAAGGGCUUCUUGCAUGGAGCCAUCAAUUGGCUUGGUAUUAUGAUAUUUUAUAUCCUCCCCUUCUGCUUGUAGCAGAUUAUUUAUGGUGUUUGUGUAAAAAGCACUAUGGUCGUUAUUUAAAUUAAACAAAAGGAGGAAAUGUUAGGGUCUGUAAACAAGUCAGGAUAGUGCCUGGCAAAUGUUAAGAGUCUGUAUACAAGUCUGGAUGGCACCUGGCAUUUUGCCAGAGGGAGUGGUUUGUGAAGUAACGCCAGCGAGCCAUUAAAUGUGGAGAUUUCUUAUUGGUUGACUGCUGUAUCUAGUUUAUGUUAAUUAAGAUAGGCUGUGUGGAAUGUAUAAAUACCCCUCCUGUCCUACAAUAAAUGGCUCCCUCUCCUGCUGUAUCAAUCUACACAAAUUGUUUGUCACCCCGGUUAUUUUGCUGCAGCCGGACUGCGGCAGUAGAUAUAAUAGUGGCAAGAUAUUUCUUCUAUUUCAACGAAUAUAAAAAGGAAUAAGUAAUAUGAUUAUAUUUUUAAAAACAUUGGAAAGGUGUGGAAUCAAAUGAGCCUAUAUAAAUUAAAAUUUUAAGACAGAAGAACUCUUCCUUGUUGAGUUAUUAAUCUUUUUUUUUCUUUGGGUGCAGCAGAGAGACUCUACUAGGUAUAAAUAAGCGAAUAAAUGAAUAAGCAGAAUUUUUAAAAGCUUCUGUAUGGGCUGGUAUGAAAAUUGGAAUGGAGAGAAGAAAAAGGUAAACAUCCAAUUUUUCCUAAGGUGCACAAGAUAAGGUGGCAUAAGAAUCUUGGAACUAUACCAGAAAGGCUGAGUAAAGAGUUCCCUAAAUCUUACAAUGUUUGUGACUCAAAGUCCUAUUACUAGAAAGGUCAUGAAAGCAAAUAAACUAGAAACACAAAUCAAGAUGUAUUCUUGAAAUAUUUGUCAGUUGUCUACUUAUAUCCCUGAACCUGCUAAAUACAC
RNAcentral lists this long non-coding RNA (1388 nucleotides) under Marmota monax (woodchuck). Lineage: Eukaryota; Metazoa; Chordata; Mammalia; Rodentia; Sciuridae. The record is from RNAcentral.